This 253-nucleotide ribosomal RNA is filed under the name uncultured bacterium. Its description in RNAcentral is "partial 16S ribosomal RNA". It matches the Rfam family "Bacterial small subunit ribosomal RNA", at positions 524 to 776 of the family's 1533-position model. The record is from RNAcentral.
UACAGAGGGUGCAAGCGUUGUUCGGAAUUAUUGGGCGUAAAGCGCGUGUAGGCGGCUUUGCAAGUCGGGUGUGAAAGCCCUCAGCUCAACUGAGGAAGUGCGCCCGAAACUGCAGAGCUUGAGUACCGGAGAGGGUGGCGGAAUUCCCCAAGUAGAGGUGAAAUUCGUAGAUAUGGGGAGGAACACCAGUGGCGAAGGCGGCUUCCUGGACACCAACUGACGCUGAGACGCGAAAGCGUGGGGAGCAAACAGG